GCUGGGCGUGGUGGUGCACACCUGUAGUCCUAGCUACUCAGGAGGCUGAGGCAGGAGGAUCACUUGAACCCAGGAGACUGAGGCUGCAGUGAGCUAUGAUCAUGCCACUGCACUCUAGCCUGGGCGACAGAGUGAGACCCUGUCUCAA
This 148-nucleotide signal recognition particle RNA is filed under the name Macaca mulatta (Rhesus monkey). RNAcentral's name for it is "Metazoan signal recognition particle RNA (ENSMMUG00000059410.1)". It matches the Rfam family "Metazoan signal recognition particle RNA". From Rfam's summary of the family: The signal recognition particle (SRP) is a universally conserved ribonucleoprotein. Lineage: Eukaryota; Metazoa; Chordata; Mammalia; Primates; Cercopithecidae. The record is from Rfam by way of RNAcentral.